This 1173-nucleotide ribosomal RNA is filed under the name uncultured bacterium. RNAcentral describes it as "bacterial SSU rRNA". It matches the Rfam family "Bacterial small subunit ribosomal RNA", at positions 216 to 1382 of the family's 1533-position model. The record is from RNAcentral.
CGGUUACAGAUGGGCAUGCGUCUGAUUAGGUAGUUGGUGAGGUAACGGCUCACCAAGCCGACGAUCAGUAGGGGUUCUGAGAGGAUUACCCCCCACACUGGUACUGAGACACGGACCAGACUCCUACGGGAGGCAGCAGUGAGGAAUAUUGGUCAAUGGCCGGAAGGCUGAACCAGCCAUCCCGCGUGCAGGAUGACGGCCCUAUGGGUUGUAAACUGCUUUUGUACCUGAAGAAUAGGCCCAACGAGUUGGGAUUUGCCGGUAAGGUAUGAAUAAGCAUCGGCUAACUCCGUGCCAGCAGCCGCGGUAAUACGGAGGAUGCGAGCGUUAUCCGGAUUUAUUGGGUUUAAAGGGUGCGUAGGCUGUUAUAUAAGUCAGUGGUGAAAUAUUCGGGCUCAACCGGGAUACUGCCAUUGAUACUGUAUAGCUGGAAUAUGGUUGCUGUGAGUGGAAUGUGUGGUGUAGCGGUGAAAUGCAUAGAGAUCACACAGAAUAUCGAUUGCGAAGGCAACUCACAAAGCCAUUAUUGACGCUGAUGCACGAAAGUGUGGGGAUCAAACAGGAUUAGAUACCCUGGUAGUCCACACUGUAAACGAUGAUAACUAGCUGUCGGCGAUACACAGCAAGCGGCUGACUGAGCGAAAGCGAUAAGUUAUCCACCUGGGGAGUACGACCGCAAGGUUGAAACUCAAAGGAAUUGACGGGGGCCCGCACAAGCGGAGGAACAUGUGGUUUAAUUCGAUGAUACGCGAGGAACCUUACCCGGGCUCGAACGGUGCAGGAAUAUGUCAGAGAUGUCAUAGCUAGCUAGCAAUAGUCUGUAUCGAGGUGCUGCAUGGUUGUCGUCAGCUCGUGCCGUGAGGUGUCGGCUUAAGUGCCAUAACGAGCGCAACCCUUGUCGUUAGUUACCAUCAAGUAAUGUUGGGGACUCUAGCGAGACUGCCACCGUAAGGUGUGAGGAAGGGGGGGAUGACGUCAAAUCAGCACGGCCCUUACGUCCGGGGCGACACACGUGUUACAAUGGUAGGUACAGAGGGGCGCUAUCCAGCGAUGGAGUGCGAAUCUUUAAAAUCGGUCUCAGUUCGGAUCGGAGUCUGCAACUCGACUCCGUGAAGUCGGAUUCGCUAGUAAUCGCGCAUCAGCCAUGGCGCGGUGAAUACGUUCCCGGGCCUU